CGGGUGAGUAACACGUGGAUAACCUACCUAUAAGACUGGGAUAACUUCGGUAAACCGGAGCUAAUACCGGAUAAUAUUUUGAACCGCAUGGUUCAAAAGUGAAAGACGGUCUUGCUGUCACUUAUAGAUGGAUCCGCGCUGCAUUAGCUAGUUGGUAAGGUAACGGCUUACCAAGGCAACGAUGCAUAGCCGACCUGAGAGGGUGAUCGGCCACACUGGAACUGAGACACGGUCCAG
This 237-nucleotide ribosomal RNA is filed under the name uncultured Staphylococcus sp. RNAcentral's name for it is "partial 16S ribosomal RNA". It matches the Rfam family "Bacterial small subunit ribosomal RNA", at positions 103 to 334 of the family's 1533-position model. Lineage: Bacteria; Bacillati; Bacillota; Bacilli; Caryophanales; Staphylococcaceae. The record is from RNAcentral.